GAUGAACGCUGGCGGCGUGCCUAAUACAUGCAAGUCGAGCGAACGGACGAGAAGCUUGCUUCUCUGAUGUUAGCGGCGGACGGGUGAGUAACACGUGGAUAACCUACCUAUAAGACUGGUAUAACUUCGGGAAACCGGAGCUAAUACCGUAUGAUAUUUUGAACCGCAUUGUUCAAAAGUGAAAGACGGUCUUGCUGUCACUUAUAGAUGGAUCCGCGCUGCAUUAGCUAGUUGGUAAGGUAACGGCUUACCAAGGCAACGAUGCAUAGCCGACCUGAGAGGGGGAUAGGCCACAUGGGAACUUGGACACGGUCCAGACUCCUAAGGGAGGCAGCAGUAGGGAAUCUUCCGCAACAGGCGAAAGCCUGACGGAGCAACGCCGAGUGAGUGAUGACGGUCUUCGGAUCGUAAAAAUCUGUUAUUAGGGAAGAACAUAUGUGUAAGUAACUGUGCACAUCUUGACGGUAACUAAUAAGAAAGCCACGGCUAACUACGUG
RNAcentral lists this ribosomal RNA (497 nucleotides) under uncultured bacterium. Its description in RNAcentral is "partial 16S ribosomal RNA". It matches the Rfam family "Bacterial small subunit ribosomal RNA", at positions 28 to 507 of the family's 1533-position model. The record is from RNAcentral.